Molecule: ribosomal RNA, 324 nt
Filed under: Triticum aestivum (bread wheat)
Lineage: Eukaryota; Viridiplantae; Streptophyta; Magnoliopsida; Poales; Poaceae
Description: partial small subunit ribosomal RNA
Source: RNAcentral
AUGUGCUUUGCUCGAGACCACCGCAUCGGUGAUUGUCGGGAUCCUCCCACCUGCCUCCUCUGUGGCCGCUCCGGUCACAAAGCCCGUGGGUGCCUCAAGUUCCAGUUUGACUUUCCGCCUCUCCAGCUGCCUCCGCGUCCUCCUGCUCACCGUCGCCUCCUUUUUCCUGCCGACCAUCCUAUCUCGCGCCGUCAGCCUACCGCCUCUCGCCUCACAUUCCCACUAGAUCAUCCCAACUCCCUGCGACUUCCAGCCAGAGAGCGCCUCUCCUUCCCUCCGCUGCUUGCCAAUCCGCCUCAGGGCUAUCAUGUUCCUCACUUGUAG